GAUGAACGCUGGCGGCGUGCCUAAUACAUGCAAGUCGAGCGAACAGAUAAGGAGCUUGCUCCUUUGAAGUUAGCGGCGGACGGGUGAGUAACACGUGGGUAACCUACCUAUAAGACUGGGAUAACUUCGGGAAACCGGAGCUAAUACCGGAUAACAUUUAGAACCGCGUGGUUCUAAAGUGAAAGAUGGUUUUGCUAUCACUUAUAGAUGGACCCGCGCCGUAUUAGCUAGUUGGUAAGGUAACGGCUUACCAAGGCGACGAUACGUAGCCGACCUGAGAGGGUGAUCGGCCACACUGGAACUGAGACACGGUCCAGACUCCUACGGGAGGCAGCAGUAGGGAAUCUUCCGCAAUGGGCAAAAGCCUGACGGAGCGACGCCGCGUGAGUGAUGAAGGGUUUCGGCUCGUAAAACUCUGUUAUUAGGGAAGAACAAAUGUGUAAGUAACUGUGCACAUCUUGACGGUACCUAAUCAGAAAGCCACGGCUAACUACGUGCCAGCAGCCGCGGUAAUACGUAGGUGGCAAGCGUUAUCCGGAAUUAUUGGGCGUAAAGCGCGCGUAGGCGGUUUCUUAAGUCUGAUGUGAAAGCCCACGGCUCAACCGUGGAGGGUCAUUGGAAACUGGGAAACUUGAGUGCAGAAGAGGAAAGUGGAAUUCCAUGUGUAGCGGUGAAAUGCGCAGAGAUAUGGAGGAACACCAGUGGCGAAGGCGACUUUCUGGUCUGUAACUGACGCUGAUGUGCGAAAGCGUGGGGAUCAAACAGGAUUAGAUACCCUGGUAGUCCACGCCGUAAACGAUGAGUGCUAAGUGUUAGGGGGUUUCCGCCCCUUAGUGCUGCAGCUAACGCAUUAAGCACUCCGCCUGGGGAGUACGACCGCAAGGUUGAAACUCAAAGGAAUUGACGGGGACCCGCACAAGCGGUGGAGCAUGUGGUUUAAUUCGAAGCAACGCGAAGAACCUUACCAAAUCUUGACAUCCUUUGAAAACUCUAGAGAUAGAGCCUUCCCCUUCGGGGGACAAAGUGACAGGUGGUGCAUGGUUGUCGCCAGCUCGUGUCGUGAGAUGUUGGGUUAAGUCCCGCAACGAGCGCAACCCUUAAGCUUAGUUGCCAUCAUUAAGUUGGGCACUCUAGGUUGACUGCCGGUGACAAACCGGAGGAAGGUGGGAUGACGUCAAAUCAUCAUGCCCCUUAUGAUUUGGGCUACACACGUGCUACAAUGGACAAUACAAAGGGCAGCUAAACCGCGAGGUCAUGCAAAUCCCAUAAAGUUGUUCUCAGUUCGGAUUGUAGUCUGCAACUCGACUACAUGAAGCUGGAAUCGCUAGUAAUCGUAGAUCAGCAUGCUACGGUGAAUACGUUCCCGGGUCU
This 1371-nucleotide ribosomal RNA is filed under the name uncultured bacterium. RNAcentral describes it as "bacterial SSU rRNA". It matches the Rfam family "Bacterial small subunit ribosomal RNA", at positions 28 to 1381 of the family's 1533-position model. The record is from RNAcentral.